RNAcentral lists this ribosomal RNA (253 nucleotides) under uncultured bacterium. RNAcentral's name for it is "partial 16S ribosomal RNA". It matches the Rfam family "Bacterial small subunit ribosomal RNA", at positions 524 to 776 of the family's 1533-position model. The record is from RNAcentral.
GAAGAGCCGUGCAAACGUUAUUCGGAAUCACUGGGCUUAAAGGGUGCGUAGGCGGUGCGGAAAGUUGGGUGUGAAAUCCCUCAGCUUAACUGAGGAACUGCGCUCAAAACUGCCGCACUUGAGGGAGACAGAGGUGAGCGGAACUUAGGGUGGAGCGGUGAAAUGCGUUGAUAUCCUAAGGAACACCAGUGGCGUAAGCGGCUCACUGGGUCUCUUCUGACGCUGAGGCACGAAAGCUAGGGGAGCAAACGGG